GACCCUAGGGAUAAGAGUGCAAUCCUAUUCUAGAGUCCAUAUCAACAAUAGGGUUUACGACCCCGAUGUUGGAUCAGGACAUCCUAAAUGGUGUAGCCGCUAUUAAGGGUUCAUUUGUUCAACGAUUAAAGUCCUUCCUGAUCUGAGUUAAGACCAGAGCAAUCCAGGUCGGUU
Molecule: ribosomal RNA, 174 nt
Organism: Chlorocebus sabaeus (green monkey)
Lineage: Eukaryota; Metazoa; Chordata; Mammalia; Primates; Cercopithecidae
Rfam family: Bacterial large subunit ribosomal RNA
Source: Rfam